Molecule: ribosomal RNA, 521 nt
Filed under: uncultured bacterium
Lineage: Bacteria
Description: bacterial SSU rRNA
Rfam family: Bacterial small subunit ribosomal RNA
Source: RNAcentral
CCAGAGAAUUUAGCAGAGAUGCUUUAGUGCCUUCGGGAACUCUGAGACAGGUGCUGCAUGGCUGUCGUCAGCUCGUGUUGUGAAAUGUUGGGUUAAGUCCCGCAACGAGCGCAACCCUUAUCCUUUGUGCCAGCACGCAAUGGUGGGAACUCAAAGGAGACUGCCGGUGAUAAACCGGAGGAAGGUGGGGAUGACGUCAAGUCAUCAUGGCCCUUACGAGUAGGGCUACACACGUGCUACAAUGGCGCAUACAAAGAGAAGCGACCUCGCGAGAGCAAGCGGACCUCAUAAAGUGCGUCGUAGUCCGGAUUGGAGUCUGCAACUCGACUCCAUGAAGUCGGAAUCGCUAGUAAUCGUAAAUCAGAAUGUUACGGUGAAUACGUUCCCGGGCCUUGUACACACCGCCCGUCACACCAUGGGAGUGGGUUGCAAAAGAAGUAGAUAGCUUAACCUUCGGGAGGGCGUUUACCACUUUGUGAUUCAUGACUGGGGUGAAGUCGUAACAAGGUAGGCGUAGUGCU